This 775-nucleotide small RNA is filed under the name Pan troglodytes (chimpanzee). RNAcentral describes it as "processed transcript". The record is from RNAcentral. Lineage: Eukaryota; Metazoa; Chordata; Mammalia; Primates; Hominidae.
CACUUUGUCAGCGAGCGUAAAUAUGACGAGGAGCUCGGGAAAGCUGCCCGGUUUUCCUGUGACAUCGAACAGCUGAAGGCCCAAAUCAUGCUCUGCGGAGAAAUUACACAUCCAAAGAACAACUAUUCCUCAAGAACUCCCUGCAGCUCCCUGCUGCCUCUGCUGAAUGCGCACGCAGCAACCUCUGGGAAACAGAGUAACUUUUCCCGAAAAUCAUCCACUCACAAUAAGCCCUCUGAAGGCAAAGCGGCAAACCCCAAAAUGAACGGAUCUUCUAACCAAAGACGGAGAUUUAAUCCACAGUAUCAUAACAACAGGCUAAAUGGGCCUGCCAAGUCGCAGGGCAGUGGGAAUGAAGCCGAGCCACUGGGAAAGGGCAACAGCCGCCACGAACACAGAAGACAGCCGCACAACGGCUUCCGGCCCAAAAACAAAGGCGGUGCCAAAAAUCAAGAGGCUUCCUUGGGGAUGAAGACCCCCGAGGCCCCGGCCCAUUCUGAAAAGCCCCGGCGAAGGCAGCACGCUGCAGACACCUCGGAGGCCAGGCCCUUCCGGGGUAGUGUCGGUAGGGUUUCACAGUGCAAUCUCUGCCCCACGAGAAUAGAAGUUUCCACAGAUGCAGCAGUUCUCUCAGUCCCGGCUGUGACGUUGGUGGCCUGAGCUAGGAGGAAAAAGAGCAGUUUUCACUCAGUUUUGGUUCCCUGCCCGAGGUGCUGACCCAAUUCGCUGCCAAAAGAGUGUCAAUCAGAAUAUACAAAUCCCGUAUGGUUGUGUC